RNAcentral lists this ribosomal RNA (292 nucleotides) under uncultured bacterium. Its description in RNAcentral is "partial 16S ribosomal RNA". It matches the Rfam family "Bacterial small subunit ribosomal RNA", at positions 505 to 796 of the family's 1533-position model. The record is from RNAcentral.
GCGCCAGCCGCCGCGGUAAUACGGAGGGGGCUAGCGUUAUUCGGAAUUAUUGGGCGUAAAGGGCGUGUAGGCGGCUUCGUGUGUCCCAUGUGAAAGCCCUCGGCUCAACCCAGAGACUGCUUCCAAAACUGCUGUGCUUGAGUGUGAGAGAGGCUCGUGGAAUUGCAGGUGUAGCGGUGAAAUGCGUAGAUAUCUGCAGGAACACCCGUGGCGAAAGCGGCGAGCUGGAUCACUACUGACGCUGAGGAACGAAAGCUAGGGGAGCAAACAGGAUUAGAUACCCUGGUAGUCC